RNAcentral lists this ribosomal RNA (245 nucleotides) under uncultured bacterium. RNAcentral describes it as "partial 16S ribosomal RNA". It matches the Rfam family "Bacterial small subunit ribosomal RNA", at positions 15 to 243 of the family's 1533-position model. The record is from RNAcentral.
GAUCCUGGCUCAGGAUGAACGCUAGCGGCAGGCUUAACACAUGCAAGUCGAGGGGCAGCAUAAUGGAUAGCAAUAUCUAUGGUGGCGACCGGCGCACGGGUGCGUAACGCGUAUGCAACCUACCUUUAACAGGGGGGAUAACACUGAAGUAAAGUUGGUACUAACUACCCAUAAUAUCAUAGAAGGCAUUCUUUUAGUGGUUAGAAAACUUCCGAUUGGUUAGAGAGUGGGCAUGCGUUGUAUUA